ACGUAGGGGGCGAGCGUUGUCCGGAAUUACUGGGCGUAAAGGGUGCGUAGGUGGCCUUUUAAGUUGGAUGUGAAAUACCCGGGCUUAACUUGGGGGGUGCAUCUAAUACUGGAGGGCUAGAGUGCAGGAGAGGGAAGCGGAAUUCCUAGUGUAGCGGUGAAAUGCGUAGAUAUUAGGAGGAACACCAGUGGCGAAGGCGGCUUUCUGGACUGUAACUGACACUGAGGCACGAAAGCGUGGGGAGCAAACAGGAUUAGAUACCCUGGUAGUCCACGCUGUAAACGAUGAAUACUAGGUGUAGGGGGUAUCAACUCCCCCUGUGCCGGAGCUAACGCAAUAAGUAUUCCGCCUGGGGAGUACGGCCGCAAGGUUG
Molecule: ribosomal RNA, 373 nt
Filed under: uncultured bacterium
Lineage: Bacteria
Description: bacterial SSU rRNA
Rfam family: Bacterial small subunit ribosomal RNA
Source: RNAcentral